AGAGAGAGACAUGCGCGCAUAUCAAUAAGCGGAGGAAAAGAAACUAACAAGGAUUCCCUUAGUAACGGCGAGUGAAGCGGGAAGAGCUCAAAUUUGAAAUCUUCAAGGUUCUACCUUGACGAAUUGUAGUCUAUAGAAGUGUUUUCUGUUAGUGGAGUGGCAAAAGUUCUUUGGAAUAGGACAUCAUAGAGGGUGAGAAUCCCGUAUUUGGUCAUUCCUCCUAGCGUUGUGAUACACUUUCAACGAGUCGGAUUGUUUGGGAAUGCAGUCCAAAAUGGGUGGUAAAUUUCAUCUCAAGCUAAAUAUUGGCGAGAGACCGAUAGCGAACAAGUACCGUGAGGGAAAGAUGAAAAGAACUUUGAAAAGAGAGUUAAACAGUACGUGAAAUUGUCAAAAGGGAAGCGUUUGACACCAGUGUUGUUUUUUCCGAAAAUCAAUUACGAAUGUUUUGUUUUUGAGGAGUUAUGACUUCAUCGGCUUGCUUCUUUCUUUACGAAACUUUCUUAAUGCACUUUUCGGUUAACAAGUCAACAUCAAUUUCUUUUGUUGUAAAAGGGUAUGAGGAAGGUGGCUUUCUUUUCGGAGAAAGUGUUUAUAGCCUUGUAGCCUCUGCAAUCGGAGAGAUUGAGGUCUGCAGCGUAGAUCCUUCGGGGUUAGAUACAUCUGUGCUAAGUUAUAGCUUUUCAUAGACAACUUGUUGACUAUGUUUAGUCUUGUAGCUUACUCGCUUAUGCUAUUUUACCUACGCUUAGGAUGUUGAUCUGUAGUGCGUGCGC
RNAcentral lists this ribosomal RNA (776 nucleotides) under uncultured Neocallimastigales. RNAcentral's name for it is "partial large subunit ribosomal RNA". It matches the Rfam family "Eukaryotic large subunit ribosomal RNA", at positions 23 to 647 of the family's 3401-position model. The record is from RNAcentral. Lineage: Eukaryota; Fungi; Neocallimastigomycota; Neocallimastigomycetes; Neocallimastigales.